RNAcentral lists this ribosomal RNA (404 nucleotides) under uncultured bacterium. Its description in RNAcentral is "bacterial SSU rRNA". It matches the Rfam family "Bacterial small subunit ribosomal RNA", at positions 29 to 416 of the family's 1533-position model. The record is from RNAcentral.
AACGAACGCUGGCGGCGUGCCUAACACAUGCAAGUCGUGCGAGAAAGUUCCUUCGGGAGCGAGUAAAGCGGCGCACGGGUGAGUAACACGUAGGUAACCUGCCCCCCAGUCUGGAACAACUAGAGGAGACUCUAGCUAAUGCCGGAUGAGACCACGAUCCCUUCGGGGGUUGCGGCCAAAGAUGGCCUCUACUUGUAAGCUAUCGCUGAGGGAUGGGCCUGCGGGCCAUUAGCUUGUUGGUGAGGUAACGGCUCACCAAGGCUGUGAUGGCUAGCUGGUCUGAGAGGAUGACCAGCCACACUGGGACUGAGACACGGCCCAGACUCCUACGGGAGGCAGCAGUGGGGAAUAUUGCGCAAUGGGCGAAAGCCUGACGCAGCGACGCCGCGUGGGUGAUGAAGGCC